RNAcentral lists this long non-coding RNA (1319 nucleotides) under Felis catus (domestic cat). RNAcentral describes it as "lncRNA (ENSFCAG00000042845.2)". The record is from RNAcentral. Lineage: Eukaryota; Metazoa; Chordata; Mammalia; Carnivora; Felidae.
CUCAGAUAUUGUUUUUUUUCUGCCGUCAGAUUUGAACUGAAACAUUGGCUCUUCUUGGGUCUUGAGACUGUAGACAUUUGGACUAGAAUUAUGCUAUUGGCUCUCUUGGGUCUCCAAGUGGCUGACUGCACAUCUUAGGACUUGUUGACUUAUUUAAACAUGUGAGGUAAUUCUCUAUAAUAAAUCUCUUUCCAUAUAUAUUUUUUAUGUAGGAUAUAUAUACAUAUCUAUAUAUCUAUAUAUCUAUAUUUCUAUAUAUCUCCUAUUGUUUCUAUUUCUCUGGAGAACUCUGACUCAUGUGGCAGGUGACCCAAUCUUUUGCAGCCUUGAUUUUGUUAGAUAUAAGGGGGGGAAAUAUUACCCAUUUUUAAGGUUGUUGUAAGGUUAAUGAGAUCAGGAUGACAAAAUAUCUUGCACAAAGUAGGUAUUUAUUAAACGACAACUGUGUUAUUAUAAUGCUUAUUUUUCACAGCACAGAACCUUUCUUAAGGCCCCAAUCUUGAAGGAAACAGUUCUAGUUCAAUUAUUUUCUUCUUUCAACUUUUCUUUUCAACUGCAGGGAGAUAAGGCUUCCUGCAGUUAACUUCCUUUUGAAUUCUGGCAAAGUACUGUUUAUAUUCUACUGUCACCUCCUUCAAAAUUCCAGCCCCCCCCCCGAAAAAAAAUUCCUGGCCAAAAUUGUUUCUUACAAAAUUCUGUAACUCAGCAAAGCAGCUAAUGAUACUCUUGAGUCUCAUUUUCUGUCUCCCCAGGCUCCAACUGCUUUUGACCAUACCACUCAGGAUUAAGGCAUCUGGACUUCCCUGUAUGUGACAGAUGUCCCUUGGGCCUGGACAACAGAAGAAGUUGCCAUGAGAUUUUGGGCCUUCUGGCUUGAGCUCAGGAUCUAGGAAUGUGGUUAGAAGAGGACAAAAAAUAUUGCCUUGAGAAGUCACUCGCUGUGCCAUUGGUUGGCCCAUGACUCAGCAGAGAUCUUUCCCCAAGAGCAUAUUUUACAAUGAAACAAAGGAUGAGACCCCAGAGUACAGAAUGAAUCUACGUGUGUACUGGGAACUGGGAGAUGAGGGCAAACGUGAGUGCAAAGAGAGAAAGAAGAUGGAGGCCCCAUGAUUCUGCUUCCGUGGCAACAGCCAAAGCCAUAUUCUGCCACUUCUACCGUAUCUCCUCUAUUCUCUAGAUGGCGGCUGCUCAGCCAAAGGAAAGAAUUCGAUCUGAGGUUGGAGGAAGAGGAAUGGUAAGUUUUCUUUGGAGCCUGAAUUUGAAGAAAAGUUGAAGCAUGCGAGAAUAAAUGAAGGUUGGGGGCGGUAUUGGUGUAAAAG